Molecule: long non-coding RNA, 990 nt
Organism: Girardinichthys multiradiatus
Lineage: Eukaryota; Metazoa; Chordata; Actinopteri; Cyprinodontiformes; Goodeidae
Exons: 3
Source: RefSeq, a predicted model, not a curated record
UGUAGCCAGAAUAGGGCCGGAUCACAGGAAGUAAUUAUGAUGGUGGGGAGCACCACGGUAUGAGAGACAGAUGGAGCGGGGUAGAAUGUGGUUGGUGACAGUAUUAAAACAAACAAAAAAAGAGGAUAGAAAUGAAGAUCUGUAUAGAAAAAUCUUCAGAACAGGGAGUCCUGAAGAAAAUGGCAAAGGAGAUCAAAACCAGAAAACAGCAAUAUCCUCCCAGAUGGCUUUAACUUCAAAUGGCUUUGGGCAUAGUUUUAUUUAUUUUACAGAUCAAUUGUUUAUUUUACCUUGCAACUGAUUUUAAUUCAUAUUUGGUUAAGUCUAGGCAUCAACACCAUGAGAUUAUAUUAGGGCAACCCAACACAUAGCUUUAGGAAGCAAGUUUAUUUGACAUUAAUCCACGUUCUUAGAUAAAAACUACAUUAUACCGUCUACCUUAAGCGCUCGGUGCGAAUUACAGGGGGAAAAGGGAUUUUGACCCACUUAAUUAAGGCUUCGAGUAUCCCAAAAAAGAGGAAAAGCAAAACGUUGUGAGGUAUAAAACACCUAUAAACACAAUUUCAUAUAUACAAUCAUAAAUUUACACUAAGUGAAAUAAAAGUGUGUUUUUUAGGAAUCCAGACACCCCUUAAAUUGGACCGUACCAAUUCUGGACCUGUAGUACUUUUACCUCCCACCCCUGUCAAUCAAACAGCCAUAAAAUGAACCACCUGUGUCCCUGCCGAACCGCAACAGUUAGCUGUUCAAAAUUACAGUUUUGGUUCAUCAUGUUAGCAAGCGGCUUUUGUUGGCCUUACUAACGGAAGUUAGUGUACGAUCCAUAGCUUCCGAUUCUGCGACUGGACAGAGGGCUGCUACAUUUUUAACUUCGAACCGGAAGCGUCAAAUCAGAAGCUAACUUCAGAGUCUUGUUUACCAUCUGAAAAGAUCCACUGUGGGGUCCGCCAGAUCAACAAUCAAGCGAAUUUUUCCACCUUUAUCCACCUG